Molecule: ribosomal RNA, 303 nt
Filed under: uncultured Hyphomicrobiales bacterium
Lineage: Bacteria; Pseudomonadati; Pseudomonadota; Alphaproteobacteria; Hyphomicrobiales
Description: bacterial SSU rRNA
Rfam family: Bacterial small subunit ribosomal RNA
Source: RNAcentral
UCAGAACGAACGCUGGCGGCAGGCUUUCACAUGCAAGUCGAGCGCGUAGCAAUACAAGCGGCAGACGGGUGAGUAACACGUGGGAACGUACCCUUCAGUUCGGAACAACCCAGGGAAACUUGGGCUAAUACCGAAUACGUCCGUAAGGAGAAAGAUUCAUCGCUGAAGGAUCGGCCCGCGUCUGAUUAGCUAGUUGGUGAGGUAACGGCUCACCAAGGUGACGAUCAGUAGCUGGUCUGAGAGGAUGAUCAGCCUCAUUGGGACUGAGACACGGCCCAAACUCCUACGGGAGGCAGCAGUGGG